CCUCGUCGAUCUGCUGCGGGCAGAUGUAGUGGAUGUGCAUGUCGAGGAAGCCGGCGGUGAGGAUCUUGCCCUCGCCGGCGAUCACCUCGGUGCCCGGCCCGACGAUGAUCGUGAUCCCCGGCUGCACGUCCGGAUUUCCGGCCUUGCCGAUGCCGACGAUCCGGCCGUCCUUCAGCCCGACGUCGGCCUUGACGAUGCCCCAGUGGUCGAUGAUCAGCGCGUUGGUGAUCACGGUGUCGACCGCGCCGCCCUCGCGCGUCACCUGGCUCUGGCCCAUGCCGUCGCGGA
This 288-nucleotide small RNA is filed under the name Methylobrevis pamukkalensis. RNAcentral describes it as "5' ureB small RNA". It matches the Rfam family "5' ureB small RNA". Lineage: Bacteria; Pseudomonadati; Pseudomonadota; Alphaproteobacteria; Hyphomicrobiales; Pleomorphomonadaceae. The record is from Rfam by way of RNAcentral.